Molecule: ribosomal RNA, 231 nt
Filed under: uncultured bacterium
Lineage: Bacteria
Description: partial 16S ribosomal RNA
Rfam family: Bacterial small subunit ribosomal RNA
Source: RNAcentral
UACGUAGGGCGCAAGCGUUAUCCGGAAUUAUUGGGCGUAAAGAGCUCGUAGGCGGUUUGUCGCGUCUGCCGUGAAAGUCCGGGGCUCAACUCCGGAUCUGCGGUGGGUACGGGCAGACUAGAGUGAUGUAGGGGAGACUGGAAUUCCUGGUGUAGCGGUGAAAUGCGUAGAUAUCAGGAGGAACACCGAUGGCGAAGGCAGGUCUCUGGGCAUUAACUGACGCUGAGGAGC